AUUGAACGCUGGCGGCAGGCCUAACACAUGCAAGUCGAGCGGAUGAAGGGAGCUUGCUCCUGGAUUCAGCGGCGGACGGGUGAGUAAUGCCUAGGAAUCUGCCUGGUCGUGGGGGAUAACGUCCGGAAACGGGCGCUAAUACCGCAUACGUCCUGAGGGAGAAAGUGGGGGAUCUUCGGACCUCACGCUAUCUGAUGAGCCUAGGUUGGAUUAGCUAGUUGGUGGGGUAACGGCCUACCAAGGCGACGAUCCGUAACUGGUCUGAGAGGAUGAUCAGUCACACGGGAACUGAGACACGGUCCAGACUCCGACGGGAGGCAGCAGUGGGGAAUAUUGGACAAUGGGCGAAAGCCUGAUCCAGCCAUGCCGCGUGUGUGAAGAAGGUCUUCGGAUGGGAAAGCACUUUAAGUUGGGAGGAAGGGCAGUAAGUUAAUACCUUGCUGUUUUGACGUUACCAACAGAAUAAGCACCGGCUAACUUCGUG
Molecule: ribosomal RNA, 484 nt
Filed under: uncultured bacterium
Lineage: Bacteria
Description: partial 16S ribosomal RNA
Rfam family: Bacterial small subunit ribosomal RNA
Source: RNAcentral